GGACGGGUGAGUAACGCGUGGGUAACCUGCCUUAUACAGGGGGAGUAACAGUCAGAAAUGGCUGCUAAUACCGCAUAAGCGCACAGAGCUGCAUGGCUCAGUGUGAAAAACUCCGGUGGUAUAAGAUGGACCCGCGUUGGAUUAGCUAGUUGGUGGGGUAACGGCCCACCAAGGCGACGAUCCAUAGCCGGCCUGAGAGGGUGAACGGCCACAUUGGGACUGAGACACGGCCCAAACUCCUACGGGAGGCAGCAUG
RNAcentral lists this ribosomal RNA (256 nucleotides) under uncultured bacterium. Its description in RNAcentral is "partial 16S ribosomal RNA". It matches the Rfam family "Bacterial small subunit ribosomal RNA", at positions 100 to 353 of the family's 1533-position model. The record is from RNAcentral.